UUUAUAGCCUGAAGAGCUAAUUUACCAGCACACAGACAAAGCAGCUGCAGCUGAGCUACAAGACAGGAUUGAAAAAAUACUAAAAGAAAAAAUCAUGGACUGGAGGCCCCGCCACCUGACUCGGUGGAAUAGGUACUGUACCUCCACUCUGCGUCACUUCUUGCCUCUGCUAGAAAGAAGUCAAGGAGAAGAUGUAGAAGACGACCACAGAGCAGAACUGCUGAGACAGCUAGGAGACUACAGGUUCUCUGGAUUUCCCCUUCACAUGCCCUACUCUGAAGUGAAGCCUUUAAUUGAAGCUGUGUAUAGCACUGGAGUACAUAAUAUUGAUGUUCCUAAUGUUGAAUUUGCUUUAGCUGUAUACAUCCACCCAUAUCCCAAAAACGUUUUGUCUGUUUGGAUCUAUGUUGCCUCCCUUAUACGCAACAGGUAAUUUUUUCAUUGUACUUUUUAUAUCAUGUAAAAACUACAUUUAGCAUAUGAGAAUAUUUUUAAACUGCA
Long non-coding RNA from Galeopterus variegatus (Sunda flying lemur), 501 nucleotides. RefSeq lists it as uncharacterized. The record is from RefSeq and is a predicted model, not a curated record. The transcript has 3 exons. NCBI's taxonomy places the organism in Eukaryota, Metazoa, Chordata, Mammalia, Dermoptera, Cynocephalidae.